GACGAACGCUGGCGGCGUGCUUAACACAUGCAAGUCGAACGGAAAGGCCCUUCGGGGUACUCGAGUGGCGAACGGGCGAGUAACACGUGGGCGAUCUGCCCUGCACUUUGGGAUAAGCCUGGGAAACCGGGUCUAAUACCGAAUAGGACCGCAUGCUUCAUGGUGUGUGGUGGAAAGCUUUUGCGGUGUGGGAUGGGCCCGCGGCCUAUCAGCUUGUUGGUGGGGUAAUGGCCUACCAAGGCGACGACGGGUAGCCGGCCUGAGGGGGUGACCGGCCACGUGGGGAGUGAGUUACGCCCCAGACUCCUGCGGGGGGCAGGGGUGGGGAAUAUUGCACAAGGGGCCCAAGCCUGAUGCAGCGACGCCGCGGGGGGGAUGAGGGCCUUCGGGUUGAAAACCUUUUUCAGCAGGGACGAAGCGCAAGUGACGGUACCUGCAGAAGAAGGACCGGCCAACUACGGGCCAGCCGCCGCCGUAA
RNAcentral lists this ribosomal RNA (478 nucleotides) under uncultured bacterium. RNAcentral's name for it is "partial 16S ribosomal RNA". It matches the Rfam family "Bacterial small subunit ribosomal RNA", at positions 28 to 523 of the family's 1533-position model. The record is from RNAcentral.